This 66-nucleotide transfer RNA is filed under the name Anopheles koliensis. RNAcentral's name for it is "tRNA-Tyr". It matches the Rfam family "tRNA". From Rfam's summary of the family: Transfer RNA (tRNA) molecules are approximately 80 nucleotides in length. Their secondary structure includes four short double-helical elements and three loops (D, anti-codon, and T loops). Further hydrogen bonds mediate the characteristic L-shaped molecular structure. tRNAs have two regions of fundamental functional importance: the anti-codon, which is responsible for specific mRNA codon recognition, and the 3' end, to which the tRNAs corresponding amino acid is attached (by aminoacyl-tRNA synthetases). tRNAs cope with the degeneracy of the genetic code in two manners: having more than one tRNA (with a specific anti-codon) for a particular amino acid; and 'wobble' base-pairing, i.e. permitting non-standard base-pairing at the 3rd anti-codon position. Lineage: Eukaryota; Metazoa; Arthropoda; Insecta; Diptera; Culicidae. The record is from RNAcentral.
GAUUAAAUGGCUGAAUAUUAGGCGAUAAAUUGUAAAUUUAUUUAUGGGAGUUACUCUCUUUAAUCA